AGAAUUAGGCAAAAAUAGAAACAAAAAUCUCUUGCAUUUGUAAUUAUCUUAUAUUUUAGGGUCCACUGAGGCCGAGGUCAGUGUGAAAUCAGUGUGAAUGGAGAGUUUAUUCCAGUUUAUUUAUAUUAAUGUCUGUUGUUUCCAGGCUGGAAAAUGUCUAAAUGCUCCUCAGUGGCUGGAAACACGACCAGUAAGGUUGUGCAGAGCGCCUCGUCUCCGUCCUGGGAGCAGUUUGACAGCAGGUGACCUUUGACCUCCUGCAGACCUGCUCCAUGCAGCUCCGACUGGUUCCAGACAGAAACAUUAUUAGAGAAUAAUUCUCUGCUGAAUCAGCUCGCGGAGAGCUGAAGCAGAUUAUCUAUUAUCUGUAGAGUCCAUGUUUCACAGGAAGCAUUCC
Long non-coding RNA from Centropristis striata (black sea bass), 397 nucleotides. RefSeq lists it as uncharacterized. The transcript has 3 exons. The record is from RefSeq and is a predicted model, not a curated record. NCBI's taxonomy places the organism in Eukaryota, Metazoa, Chordata, Actinopteri, Perciformes, Serranidae.